Heterocephalus glaber (naked mole-rat) is the source of this 371-nucleotide non-coding RNA. NCBI's taxonomy places the organism in Eukaryota, Metazoa, Chordata, Mammalia, Rodentia, Bathyergidae. The record is from RefSeq and is a predicted model, not a curated record.
GGGAUAUGAAGACUGAGUUUUUUUUUGUUGUUGUUGGAAUGGUGGAAGGAGUCAGGCUGGCUAUGAGGACUGUGAGAUGAGCAGAACGAAAUGACACUGAUGAUAAUGGGAAAAUAUUAAUGGGAAAAUUGCCAGUCAGUGUGCUAAGUUAUGUAUAUCAGCUCAUUUUCCCCCCACUCAACUACUCUGUGAAGAACACGGCAUCAUCACCAGCAAAUCAUAAGUUCUGCAUCAUAGUCACUCUCUGCUGAGAAGAAUGAUUCACUUGUAUAAAAGAAUGACCUGUGAUUGACUUAUUGUUGGAAACAAAUAAAAAAAGUUAUAAUAAAUCAAGACAAGCAUUUUGAAGGGGGUGAAAACCUGGGAUCAGG